AUUGAACGCUGGCGGCAGGCUUAACACAUGCAAGUCGAGCGGAGACUUCGGUCUUAGCGGCGAACGGGUGAGUAAUACCUAGGAAUCUGCCUAUUAGUGGGGGAUAACGAAUCGAAAGGUUCGCUAAUACCGCAUACGUCCUACGGGAGAAAGGGGGGAGUCUUCGGACCUCUCGCUGAUAGAUGAGCCUAGGCCGGAUUAGCUAGUUGGUAGGGUAAAGGCCUACCAAGGCGACGAUCUGUAGCUGGUCUGAGAGGAUGGCCAGCCACACUGGAACUGAGACACGGUCCAGACUCCUACGGGAGGCAGCAGUGGGGAAUAUUGGACAAUGGGGGCAACCCUGAUCCAGCCAUGCCGCGUGUGUGAAGAAGGCCU
Molecule: ribosomal RNA, 375 nt
Filed under: uncultured bacterium
Lineage: Bacteria
Description: bacterial SSU rRNA
Rfam family: Bacterial small subunit ribosomal RNA
Source: RNAcentral